This 617-nucleotide ribosomal RNA is filed under the name Poecilia reticulata (guppy). Its description in RNAcentral is "partial 16S ribosomal RNA". It matches the Rfam family "Bacterial large subunit ribosomal RNA", at positions 853 to 1896 of the family's 2925-position model. Lineage: Eukaryota; Metazoa; Chordata; Actinopteri; Cyprinodontiformes; Poeciliidae. The record is from RNAcentral.
GUUGCCUGGAAACUAAAUAGAAGUUUAGCCUCUAUUUAUCUCCUGCCCAAACGUCUAUCACAAACAUAGGUCCAGAGAUCCUUAGAGAGUUAUUAAAAAGGGGUACAGCCCUUUUUAACAAAGACACAACUUUACAGAGCGGAUAAUAAUCAUAAAUAAAUUAGGUAGGCGCCUAGGUGGGCCUAAAAGCAGCCACCCUUAAAGAAAGCGUUAAAGCUCCGACGCAUCCUAACACCCGUAAUACCGACAAUAAAACUACACUCCCUCAACACUACCAGGCCAUUCUAUUAAUUAAUAGAAGAGAUUAUGCUAAAAUGAGUAAUCAGAGAAUGCACUUCUCUCCCCGCACACGUGUAAACCGGAUCGGACAACCCACCGGAAAUUAACGGCCCCAAACCAAGAGGGUAUUAAGAACUAAAAAAACAACAAGAAAGCCCCUUAAACUUCAACCCGUUUUCCCCACACUGGAGUGCCCCACGGGAAAGACUAAAAGGGGAAGAAGGAACUCGGCAAAAAAUAUCCUAAGCCUCGCCUGUUUACCAAAAACAUCGCCUCUUGAACCUCUAUAAGAGGUCCCGCCUGCCCUGUGACUUAAGUUUAACGGCCGCGGUAUCUUG